UCAACUGGCUCAUUCCAGGGAGUUCUUAGC
Molecule: non-coding RNA, 30 nt
Filed under: Homo sapiens (human)
Lineage: Eukaryota; Metazoa; Chordata; Mammalia; Primates; Hominidae
Source: RNAcentral